UACGGAGGGAGCAAGCGUUACUCGGAAUUAUUGGGCGUAAAGGGCGCGUAGGCGAUCUGAAAAGUUCUGUGUGAAAGCCCACAUGUUAACUGUGGAAGUGCACAGAAAACUGUUGGAUUUGAGUUCAGGAGAGGAAGGCAGAAUUCCCGGUGUAGCGGUGAAAUGCGUAGAGAUCGGGAGGAAUACCAGUGGCGAAGGCGGGUCUCUGGGCCGAUACUGACGCUGAGGAGCGAAAGCGUGGGGAGCGAACAGG
RNAcentral lists this ribosomal RNA (253 nucleotides) under uncultured bacterium. Its description in RNAcentral is "partial 16S ribosomal RNA". It matches the Rfam family "Bacterial small subunit ribosomal RNA", at positions 524 to 776 of the family's 1533-position model. The record is from RNAcentral.